GACCUGCCAGAUGGAGAAGACAGGAAAUGACUACCUUUCACGGUGGCUCUUUCAUGUGGUUCCUUAAACAGCCAUCUGUGCUACCCAUUGCAAGGAACCGAAGAUUUCAAGUCACCUCUGGAAUCUUCUGUGUGACAGUUCUCCCGUAACGGCUCCUAAGUCAAAGAUCAACGGCCACCAGACAUUUUAACAUAAAACCAACUUUUAAUAAGUGAUUUCUGCAAAGGUGGGUAAUUUAGGUGACAUCAGAGAAAGGGAUACACACACACACACACAAACAUUUUAGGUCAAUUCUGUCUUCUAAAAUGUGAUGCAUAACCUGUUAUAAAAGGAAGAGUGUUGGCCAGACUAACAUGCUAUCUAUGAUGAGCCUGCCUUCUCCACUAUCUGUCUACCUAGGACAAAAACAUCUGUCUAGGACAAAUGUGUUUAGGACUUUGCAGAAAGCCCUCGACACCUCUCCUGCCUCAUUCUUGCCUCCUUGCAUCAUAACUCACAGUGCACGUGGGAAAGGUCUAAUUUCUUAGUUUCCCUUGGCUCACUUGUUGCAUGCGGAGAGCCACCAACUGGAGGCGGCAGCCCCCCGGGCUGCUGGAAUGGCCACAGUGGGUCUGCCUUUGAAGUCCUACCCUCCAGUUAUAUCUCUCAUUGCACCAGGCGGGCUGUGAGCAAGCCCGUUGCAUGCAGCUGUCACCAUUUAAGCCAGCGGGCGUUUGAAGAUGUGCCGCCCCCCACCCCUUGUGAGGGAAGCCAGAAUAGAACAAAGUGUGGUGUUCCCAUGAAAUCGUUUGAAUGCUUGAUAAGAGUGUGAGUCUGCACCUUUUCUCCCUGACGGGGGUAGGUGGGGGGAGGGGGGCAGAGAGGAGACUACAUCCUCUCUGCAAACGUGGAACACAGGUAGCUGGAAGUGCCCCAUGUGUCGACUAUGGGUCCCGAGGACAAAACAGUUCGCAUCUGGUCUCAUCCCUCCAAAGAAGAAGACAGUCUUUCAGAAGAAAGUGGCUGGCCGGAAGGGCGCUGCAUUUGCCCAGACCUCCCAGACAUCUCGCCAAAAAAACAAAACAAAACAAAACAAAAAAAAAAACAACGACAACAAAAAACGCUUCCUUCUGGGUUGGUUUCUCUGUCGCUGCAAAUACCACACACGGAGAGCUGGCGCUCGGCUUCUGGAGAGCAACCCUGUGUAACAAAACUACUUACGGGAUCCAGGCGGGGGCAAGGCUUGGGCGAUGAGCUUGACGGUCUGACUCUUGCUUUCACUGACCAUCUGUCCCCCUCGGUGAGCCGUCCUUUCUGCCGACUUCACAGAGGAGCCAAGCGACCGACAGCAAAUUGCUCAUUUUCCAAACAAAAAUGCAGACAGUAAGAGAGCCUGUGUAAGCGGGGGUUACAAAUUGCUGUCAGGCCUGGGUGGGAAGCUGGGAGUCAGGAGCGAAGCCUCAGGUUCUCUGCCGCUGGAAGGAAGGGAGGCGAUCUGUAAUUGAUGCUGGAAGGACAGCGGAGGAAUUCCUGGUAUGAGAAUUGCCAGCCCCUCUCUGCAUCUGCCGACACCAUGUGGCUGGCCCCUUAGUGGCCUGGGAGAUUACAGAAGGGGCUGGAAAGCUUGCUGUCUUUGUGAAGGAUAAACAUCUUCCUUCUGCCACCAAAGUGGUAGCAAUUGUGGCUCCGGGAUGGGAGGUUUCAAAACAAAAGUAGGCCAGUGCUGUUGGCCUUGCAUGGCCUCCAAGAAGAUACCGUCGGCUCUCAUCAGACACCAAUUUUCUAGUUUGUGGAUUACCCAGACUUUCAUUCUUCCCUUCUCCUUUGGCAGAAUCAAUCAAACAGAAUUAGAACCGGACAAUUUUUCUAUUUGUAAACACUUCAUAGAGAAGGUUUGGUUGCGGUAAUGAUUCAGGCCACUUACCAAAAUUGAGUUUUCAGAGUGUGGGUGCCUGUGAGUGGCUUUGCCCUUUUGAAGGGAAGUCUGAGGGGGAUGGAAAGCCUUGACCAACCAGGUCCCAGGUCUCCCCACUCCUUUCAGCUUAAGUCACGGUGAGGCCAAGAGGAGGAUUAGGCCUGUUCCUAUUUUAGCAUUUUUGGUCCCCAGGGGGAUCGUGGGUCCUCUCUCAAAGCUCCGGGCAGCAUGAUGGAUUGGUGGGAUGCUCUUGGUGAAAUAACCUUUAGAGUUAAGAGGUAGGUUGAGGAUUAGGACCCCCCAGGGUAUAUGACCGUCUGAACGUGUUGACUCCAUUUUUUAUACAAGGGAUUGACGAGGCUGCCAGGCUGUUUCUCGGAUGCCCCCGCAGACUAUGUGUCAUCCUGGAGCCCCAUACCCUAUGGACAUGGUGAAGUGAAUUCAGAAGGGGACUGUGGGCUUCAGUGGGCUCCGUGCUCUAAUCUCUCCCUCCCACGCUUCAGCUCCAUGGGCCACGGCAGCACUGGGCCAGGAGAGUUUAGAGGGAAAUAAACCUGCAUUUGAAUUCUAGACUUGCCA
RNAcentral lists this long non-coding RNA (2473 nucleotides) under Felis catus (domestic cat). RNAcentral's name for it is "lncRNA (ENSFCAG00000040543.2)". Lineage: Eukaryota; Metazoa; Chordata; Mammalia; Carnivora; Felidae. The record is from RNAcentral.